This 3559-nucleotide long non-coding RNA is filed under the name Homo sapiens (human). RNAcentral's name for it is "HSALNT0045911". The record is from RNAcentral. Lineage: Eukaryota; Metazoa; Chordata; Mammalia; Primates; Hominidae.
CCCAAAGUGUUGGGAUUAUAGGUGUGAGCCAUGGCGCCCGGCCCUCUCUCUCUCUCUCUCUCUUUUUUUUUUUUUUUUGACUCCUGCAUUUUUUGUUUGUAAUACACUGGAGCCAGUUUUCCCAUUGGACUUAGGGUUUGUGAAUGCCUCUGGCCACAUUAUAGAGGAAACAGACUCUAAUAGGGUCUUCCUGCUUUCUCCUCUCAUCUGCCAUAUUCAGUCCUUAAGGAGUUUCCUAGAGGUUUUCUCUGCAGUCCAUCCUCUUAUGUUACAUCACUUGUGACAGUGAUUUGUAACAACAUUGGUUGCUUUAUGUUCUCCAGUAUCCAUUCAUCUAUUUACCCAGGUUAUAGUUCCCAGGCUUCCUUUGGAGAAACCACCCCUCCUUUACUUUCAGCCCACCUUCGGAGGGGGUGGGGAGACAGCAUGGGAUGUAAUCCUUAACCAAUCAGUCCAUUCAUUCCCCAGGCCACGAUGAUUGAUUAGCAAUGUCAUAUGACCCAGUCAGAGCCAAUGAGACACAAUGAGGCUUUUGCUGGGACUGGAGAGAAAGAGCAAAAGAGAACUUUUUCCUGCUGGACUUAACCUCAAGGGAUGUUAGGUUAGAGGUUCUAGCAGCCACCUUGUCAUCAUGGGGAGAAAGACCAUCUGAGAAGGAAGCCAAUCCCACAGAAGCGGAUCCAAGAUACCGGAAGAGUGAAACGGUCUUCUAAAGCUGUACCUGAAGUCACCUUACUCCUGCCAUUUUUUAGUCUGUGCGGCCCCGUGUCACGUUGUACCUGGUUAUAUGUGCUGAAGUCUCUGAGCUACUCCCACAGUCAAGCUGGUCACAAAUCGGAUUGGGCCUCAUUUUCACCCUGAAGGAAACUGAGGCUGAGAGUUGCUGAGGCCUGCCCUAAAGGUUGUGGCAAGAGACUCAGCUGGAGGUGAGGUUCCUCUCCUCUAACCUCAACAGGACUCUCCCCACUGGUACGCUACAACAGCUUGGAAGGUAAUCGCACUUGUCAGCGUGGGCUUUCCGGAAUAUGUGCUGCUCAUAUUCUGGGAAGGGCAGGCAGCGGGGGUGAGGGUGAGACAGGAAAUCUUUCUGGAGGCUCUGAAGCCAUUCCGGUUUUGGAGCAUCCCCAGCAACUCCCACAGAAUCAAGCCUUUUAAACUGCCUUUUGGAGAGGUUCGACUGAGAGCAAGGCUGCCUCAAUCUGCUUCUGCCCAACUUCCUUUCUGUGAGGCCCCACAAGAGGACUAGAGCAGCGCCCCAGGGAGGAUGCGAGGAGAAUGGGCUGAUUGAGCGAUGUGGGCACAGGGCUGGCUGGCUGCCACCGUGCUGUCUGUCAGCAGGCUACAGGGUGGCUUUUCUUCUUGGUUUGCUUGCAGAGCCAGGGAGGCUGGGUGCCAGGGAGAAUAUUUUCUUUGUUUGGGAAAAGCCGUGUCCAUCUGGCUUGCUCUGUAGCCUGUAGCCUCUCGCCUGAGAAGCUUUCCUGCCACUGGACAUGGAUCCCACUGGCAGGGUCUCUGCUGUGACCGACAGAAGAUGCCGGCCCUGGGAGAGGCAACCAGUGAGGGCCCUACACAGAGCAUGCCUGCGCCUGGACUGACCCAGCCUUCAGUUCAUCCACCCCACAGACAUUGGCUCAGGGUCUCCCCUGGUGGAAUGUGGACCAUGGCCUGUUGUUACAGGCUCAGGUAGAUUGUCGACAAUGGUGCUCCAGUAUUCUCGGCCUGGGGGAGCUUGCAUCCUGCAUAGCCCCUUAAUUUUUGCAGAUGAGGACACUGAGACUCAGAGAUCUGAAAUAGCUUGUCCAAGGUCACACAAGAAAGCCAGGUUCAAGGCCUGGCUCCACCACUGCCUUGUCUUGUGGCCUUGAGCAAGUUCCUUGGCCUUGCUGGGCCUGUUUCCUAAUCUCUGAAGGGGGAUAAGUACCUAGUCCACAAGGCUAAUGUGGGAGUUAAAUGAGAUGAUCCAGCUGAGGGCCUCAUCAAAGGCCCUCUGCUCAUGGGAGGAGUCCCGUACAGUCCACCUCCAUCUCUGAAUCUGCAUUACCCUUGUUUUAUUAUUGUCAUGCAGUUGGCAACAACCACUACAAUCAAAUGAAGACCUCGGAAGCCAAGGCUGUGCAGCUGUUGCACAAAGUUCCUCGAAAGUCCCUCUUGCCUUCCAUCCUCCCCAUGUUCCCACAUGGUAGAGAUGGCAAGUCUCCUUUCUUUCAUUUUACUGAUGAGAUAAAACUUCAGUCAAAGAUGUGUCCUAAACCUGUGCUCUCCACUUCCUGGUUUCCCUGCUCUUUCUGUCUCCACCUGCUGCCAAUUAGAAUAUUCCCACUGGUAGGAUAUUCCAGCCAUGAGGGCGCUGAGUGUGGGAAAGAAGGAAUACCCCCUCCCACCCCAAAUCAAUGGAAAUCACCUCAGCAUUCUUCUUACUGUUUUCUAUUUUUUCUUGGGUUCAUCUCCAGGGGCUGCGGGUUGGGGGCUAAGGACUGGGGGUCCUUGACUGACUGCACAGGGCUGGAUCUGACGGAGCAGAUAGAACGCAUUUCCCAGCUCUGGGGCUGUGGCCAGUGACAACUUUAACGGCAAAGAAUUACCAUCAAUUGUGUCCUGUGGCUGAAGGGAUUUAUGGACAUUUUAUGUGACUCUAUGGACACAGACCCAAGGUUCCAACUGAACAGAGCUGGGAAGAAACACAGUGGCCCUUGUUAAACGGAAAGAAUGAGUUUAAUGUAUACAGGGAGAGGGUAAGGGGUGGCGGUGGGGAGACAGAAGGAAAGGAGGUUCCCCGUGUUAAAUAUUUACAAUUUGGGACUUGGGUCCUGUAUUUCCAAAGGUGGUGGCAGGAGGGUGAUUUCCGUAAUAUAUUCCUCCCUCAAAACCCACCUUGCAUGAGAAACUGCAGCAGGCACAAAAUAUUGCUCAUGAAUAUUAAUCAGUAAACUCCCCCUGCCAGUUGGGAAUGGGGGCUGGUACUAAAAUACUCCCUCCCCAACCCCCAAAGGCAAACAGCCCCCAAGGAAAACCCUGAAGCCAGCUCCCCAGGCUGACAGCAGAAGUAUUCCUGGCCGUGGGGUCAGAGGGCAUGGCCAGGGGAGGGGUCAGCUUUGUUUCCACUGUGUGUUGGUGAAUGCCAAACCUUUAUGGAACUUUGCUAGCUGUGUUUUGGGCUAUUUAGCUGCAAAACCAAAAGAUUUAUUUUUUCCCUCUCUCUCCUUUUGGGUUUUGUCUUCCACUGGCAGCAGUAACAUAUGCAGGUCUGGAGGCCGUUAAGGCAGGCCAGGCUCUCUCCCAUCCGAAGAAAAGAAAAGACAGGUCUUAAUUAAAAGAGAACCCAACAUUUGUAAAGCCAGCACAAACAUUCCCAACAUCCACCACCAUUGCUUCUGUGAUCUUUUCAAUAGACAAAGGAAAAAUGAGUGGCAUGGGAGGCAUCUUUCAUGAUACAUUUUAUCUGUACAACCUGUUACCUUUUUUUUUUUUUUUUUUUUUUUUUUGAGAUGGAGUCUCGCUCUGUCACCCAGGCUGCAGUGCAGUGGCGCCAUCUCGGCUCACUGCAAGCUCUGCCUCCCGG